RNAcentral lists this ribosomal RNA (469 nucleotides) under uncultured bacterium. RNAcentral's name for it is "partial 16S ribosomal RNA". It matches the Rfam family "Bacterial small subunit ribosomal RNA", at positions 28 to 507 of the family's 1533-position model. The record is from RNAcentral.
GACGAACGCUGGCGGCGUGCUUAACACAUGCAAGUCGAACGGAAAGGCCCUGCUUUUGUGGGGUGCUCGAGUGGCGAACGGGUGAGUAACACGUGAGUAACCUGCCCUUGACUUUGGGAUAACUUCAGGAAACUGGGGCUAAUACCGGAUAGGAGCUCCUGCUGCAUGGUGGGGGGUUGGAAAGUUUCGGCGGUUGGGGAUGGACUCGCGGCUUAUCAGCUUGUUGGUGGGGUAGUGGCUUACCAAGGCUUUGACGGGUAGCCGGCCUGAGAGGGUGACCGGCCACAUUGGGACUGAGAUACGGCCCAGACUCCUACGGGAGGCAGCAGUGGGGAAUAUUGCACAAUGGGCGGAAGCCUGAUGCAGCAACGCCGCGUGCGGGAUGACGGCCUUCGGGUUGUAAACCGCUUUCGCCUGUGACGAAGCGUGAGUGACGGUAAUGGGUAAAGAAGCACCGGCUAACUACGUG